UCACCUCUAUGCCUAAUAUUUGCACUUGCCAACAUAAACAAAUAGCUCUAGGUGGAAUUACUGUAUCAAAGAGCAUGCAAAAUAGUGGGGACUUCUAUACAAAUCAACCACGUGGCUGAGAUUUGGAAUCUGAUCUCCUGGAAAUAUUGAGAGUUUGAGGUGGCCAUAGAACAUGUCCUCAAUUCUGGACCCACAUAUCGCUUCAAGUCUGAAUGACCCUGGAACCCAGAGCAAACAUAAGGCACACCCACAAAAGAAGGAAGAGAAGGCAGAAGGAGACUAAGAAUAGGAGAAAAGUAAAGAAAAGAGAAGGAGAGAAAAGAAAGAAGUGCAAAUGGAAAGAAAGUAGAGAAACUGCUUCACUGCCAUCAGUGGCAUGAGAAUAAUGAUUUGUUUAUCCUGCUCUAAAGAAUUCCUGUGCCAGAGGCCUUGAGAUAUUAUAGUCUCUUCUCAUCCAUAAGAAAAAAAACAUUUUCAUACAGUUUGCAGUUUGCAUAGCACUGGCCCUUAAUACACACACACACACACACACAUACACACACACACACACAGAGUACUUAAAUGGUCUCCCAGAAACAAACAGAGUGAAUGUCAAGUCCUUGAUGAACUGGUCUGUGAUAAGCCAAACAUGGAAACGCAGAGGGAAUGUACUUCUAGGAAGUCCAAUCAUUGGUACAUUGUGUUGCCUUCAAGGGCGUGGUUCCAACACAACCUGAGUGCAGGAUGUUUGAUACCCAUUCUUUUUGAGUGGGUUCUUUAGCAACAACUUCUCCUAAAUGGUAAGCCCUACUUCUCAACACUGUCAUCCAGGGUGGAGAGAUGCUACAGCUGACAGCAGUGACUGGCAGGAGCCUGGAAAAGUACAAUAAUAUUCUAAGUUGUCUUUAGUCUUAUUUUUAUUUAGGCUAAUUUGCAUGAGUGGUUUAUGCCAAAUGAGGAUAUUUUUCCUUCUCCUUGGAAUAGCUUUAUGUGAAAAUAUCACUCUUUUCAAAGUGCCCAAAUAUUACUGUGCUGAAUAAUGAGGCAGAUGGAAAAUAGGAAGGGUGGAGCAAGUUCAAAAUGCUUUAUGGUUGGCAGAAUAGAUGAGCUUUUCAGAUUUCCAGCCUCCCUCUACUUUAUUCAUCUGACAGCACUGUCUGCUCCACCCUGCAAGGAUGCAAGGACCAGAGAGGUUCCUGG
RNAcentral lists this long non-coding RNA (1179 nucleotides) under Homo sapiens (human). RNAcentral describes it as "HSALNT0079380". The record is from RNAcentral. Lineage: Eukaryota; Metazoa; Chordata; Mammalia; Primates; Hominidae.